Cicer arietinum (chickpea) is the source of this 495-nucleotide non-coding RNA. Lineage: Eukaryota; Viridiplantae; Streptophyta; Magnoliopsida; Fabales; Fabaceae. The record is from RefSeq and is a predicted model, not a curated record.
GUGUUUUUCUUAUGUUUCUCAUACUUGAAAAGAAUAACCAUGAUUUUUGUGAACAAAAUACAUAUUUAUUGUGUUGUUUCUUUUUUCUUUCUUGCAAUUUUCACGACGAUCUUCAACCUUGCUACCACCUCACGCAAUAUAAAUAUUCCUCAGGAGGCAAUAGGACAAAGGACGAUGUCACAAGACAAAUCAAAGGUCUUUGUGGUUUCAUCAAGAAGUCUUCUUGGUGGCCUCGGGUCCCAUCCUCCGAGUUGCGUAGACAAGUGUGGGACAUGUACUCCAUGUGAACAUGUCCUAGUGUCUAUACCAUCAGUGUCUGCACCAACAAAGUCAACACCUUAAAAGAACAAUACUCACGACAUAGUAUGGAGAUGCAAGUGUGUGGGCAAGUUAUAUCCAUCUGGAUUUUAAUUUAAAAAAACUGAGACUCUGUAAGAUAGUAUUUAAUUAUCACGAUAUCCAAUAUAUUAAAAAAAAAAGUUAAAUUGUCUGAAA